RNAcentral lists this ribosomal RNA (227 nucleotides) under uncultured bacterium. RNAcentral describes it as "partial 16S ribosomal RNA". It matches the Rfam family "Bacterial small subunit ribosomal RNA", at positions 524 to 751 of the family's 1533-position model. The record is from RNAcentral.
UACGUAGGGUGCAAGCGUUAAUCGGAAUUACUGGGCGUAAAGCGUGCGCAGGCGGUUCGCUAAGACAGAUGUGAAAUCCCCGGGCUUAACCUGGGAACUGCAUUUGUGACUGGCGGGCUAGAGUAUGGCAGAGGGGGGUAGAAUCCACGUGUAGCAGUGAAAUGCGUAGAGAUGUGGAGGAAUACCGAUGGCGAAGGCAGCCCCCUGGGCCAAUACUGACGCUCAUG